AGCGGAGGAAAAGAAACUAACAAGGAUUCCCCUAGUAGCGGCGAGCGAAGCGGGAAGAGCUCAAAUUUAUAAUCUGGCACCUUCGGUGUCCGAGUUGUAAUCUCUAGAAAUGUUUUCCGCGUUGGACCGCACACAAGUCUGUUGGAAUACAGCGGCAUAGUGGUGAGACCCCCGUAUAUGGUGCGGACGCCCAGCGCUUUGUGAUACAUUUUCGAAGAGUCGAGUUGUUUGGGAAUGCAGCUCAAAUUGGGUGGUAAAUUCCAUCUAAAGCUAAAUAUUGGCGAGAGACCGAUAGCGAACAAGUACCGUGAGGGAAAGAUGAAAAGCACUUUGGAAAGAGAGUUAACAGUACGUGAAAUUGUUGGAAGGGAAACGCUUGAAGUCAGACUUGCUUGCCGAGCAAUCGGUUUGCAGGCCAGCAUCAGUUUUCCGGGAUGGAUAAUGGUAGAGAGAAGGUAGCAGUUUCGGCUGUGUUAUAGCUCUCUGCUGGAUACAUCUUGGGGGACUGAGGAACGCAGUGUGCCUUUGGCGGGGGUUUCGACCUCUUCACACUUAGGAUGCUGGUGGAAUGGCUUUAAACGACCCGUCUUG
RNAcentral lists this ribosomal RNA (591 nucleotides) under Rhodotorula mucilaginosa. Its description in RNAcentral is "eukaryotic LSU rRNA". It matches the Rfam family "Eukaryotic large subunit ribosomal RNA", at positions 49 to 656 of the family's 3401-position model. Lineage: Eukaryota; Fungi; Basidiomycota; Microbotryomycetes; Sporidiobolales; Sporidiobolaceae. The record is from RNAcentral.